RNAcentral lists this ribosomal RNA (492 nucleotides) under uncultured bacterium. Its description in RNAcentral is "partial 16S ribosomal RNA". It matches the Rfam family "Bacterial small subunit ribosomal RNA", at positions 29 to 507 of the family's 1533-position model. The record is from RNAcentral.
AGUGAACGCUGGCGGUAGGCCUAACACAUGCAAGUCGAACGGCAGCACAGUAAGCGCUUGCUCUUACGGGUGGCGAGUGGCGGACGGGUGAGGAAUACAUCGGAAUCUACUUUUUCGUGGGGGAUAACGUAGGGACACUUACGCUACUACCGCAUACGACCUACGGGUGAAAGCAGGGGAUCUUCGGACCUUGCGCGAUUGAAUGAGCCGAUGUCGGAUUAGCUAGUUGGCGGGGUAAAGGCCCACCAAGGCGACGAUCCGUAGCUGGUCUGAGAGGAUGAUCAGCCACACUGGAACUGAGACACGGUCCAGACUCCUACGGGAGGCAGCAGUGGGGAAUAUUGGACAAUGGGCGCAAGCCUGAUCCAGCCAUACCGCGUGGGUGAAGAAGGCCUUCGGGUUGUAAAGCCCUUUUGUUGGGAAAGAAAAGCAGCAGGUUAAUACCCCGCUGUUCUGACGGUACCCAAAGAAUAAGCACCGGCUAACUUCGUG